Molecule: ribosomal RNA, 375 nt
Filed under: uncultured organism
Description: partial 16S ribosomal RNA
Rfam family: Bacterial small subunit ribosomal RNA
Source: RNAcentral
GAACUGUGCAAACGUUAUUCGGAAUCACUGGGCUUAAAGGGUGCGUAGGCGGGUUUAAAGGUCUGAUGUGAAAACCCACGGCUCAACCGUGGAAUUGCGUUGGAAACCAUAAGCCUUGAGGAGAUCAGAGGUGAGCGGAACUGAUGGUGAAGCGGUGAAAUGCGUUGAUAUUAUCAGGAACACCGGUGGCGAAAGCGGCUCACUGGGAUCUUUCUGACGCUGAGGCACGAAAGCUAGGGGAGCGAACGGGGGAUUAGAUACCCCGGUAGUCCUAGCUGUAAACGAUCAGCACUAGUCUGUGGGGGCUUCCACACCCCCCUCUCGGACGUAGCGAAAGUGUUAAGUGCUGCGCCUGGGAGUAUGGUCGCAAGGCUG